RNAcentral lists this ribosomal RNA (497 nucleotides) under uncultured bacterium. RNAcentral's name for it is "partial 16S ribosomal RNA". It matches the Rfam family "Bacterial small subunit ribosomal RNA", at positions 28 to 507 of the family's 1533-position model. The record is from RNAcentral.
GAUGAACGCUGGCGGCGUGCCUAAUACAUGCAAGUCGAGCGAACAGACGAGGAGCUUGCUCCUCUGACGUUAGCGGCGGACUGGUGAGUAACACGUGGAUAACCUACCUAUAAGACUGGGAUAACUUCGGGAAACCGGAGCUAAUACCGGAUAAUAUAUUGAACCGCAUGGUUCAAUAGUGAAAGACGGUUUUGCUGUCACUUAUAGAUGGAUCCGCGCCGCAUUAGCUAGUUGGUAAGGUAACGGCUUACCAAGGCAACGAUGCGUAGCCGACCUGAGAGGGUGAUCGGCCACACUGGAACUGAGACACGGUCCAGACUCCUACGGGAGGCAGCAGUAGGGAAUCUUACGCAAUGGGCGAAAGCCUGACGGAGCAACGCCGCGUGAGUGAUGAAGGUCUUCGGAUCGUAAAACUCUGUUAUUAGGGAAGAACAAAUGUGUAAGUAAAUAUGCACGUCUUGACGGUACCUAAUCAGAAAGCCACGGCUAACUACGUG